Long non-coding RNA from Notolabrus celidotus (New Zealand spotty), 935 nucleotides. RefSeq lists it as uncharacterized. Lineage: Eukaryota; Metazoa; Chordata; Actinopteri; Labriformes; Labridae. The transcript is spliced from 4 exons. The record is from RefSeq and is a predicted model, not a curated record.
ACACGGUUUAUUUGUCUAGUGGCCAAGUGCAGCUCUUAUUAAGAGAACCUUUUGCCUAGCUUUUUGACAGUUUUUUCCGUUCACCUUCAACCCACCUGACUCCUGUUUUUCCUGUCUCCAGGACCCAUCUGCAUCCAGCUCUGCCACCUUCCUCACUCACCUGCCUGUUCACCACUGUCUGGAUCCCUCCCUCAGCACCCCAGGACUCCCAUCAGCUAUCCCUUUGCCCUGCACUGCUGUAACAAAACUUUGGGAAACAAGACCUGUCUAAAGUCGGCUUUUUGGGUUCAGUCGUAAUUCGUGACAAGUAAUGUUGCUGUCAGAGAUGUUGCCAGAGGAGCCAAGCAAGAAGAGACAGAAGGACCAUUUCAUGAACCACCAUGUGACUCGGUUGGGCAGUGAGACAGCAUGCACAGCACUGAGACCCUGAAGCCUCUAAAACAAGAAGUCCAACAUUUAUGUUUUUAUUUACGCCUGAGACAUAAAAAAAAGAGCUCCUGUUUGCUUUCCUACGAUCAGCUGUUCAGUCAACAUAGAAAAACAUACAUAUUUUGAAUUUCUUACUGUUUCCAGGGUCAUGAAUGAACAUCUUGCAUACAUUUUAUAUUUUCUCUCUGAGUUACGAGCGGUGGAAAGCGUUCCUCUUCUCCUGAAUCCUUGAUUCAACGUGUAACUAUCUUUAAAGGCCACACUCAUUUCCACCUACACACAUUUCAUGCCAUUAUCACUUCUUUGCUAAACACUUCUUACCACUCCACCUACACGCUACAACAAAUUUGGACCAUGACAUAUUUGAAUGAGCCACCAGAAAUAGUUGUUAACUUGUUUUGUAUUUUUGGUUGAGUUGGAACAAAACUAACAAAAUGGUGCUCACAUACUGAGAGUGUGUCUUGCAAUCAUUGCAAACUGUUACUGCUAGAGAAGUGUUGUCAGGA